GGGGAUGUGGCUCAGUGAAAGAGCAAUUGCUUAGUAUGUGUAAAGUCUCUGGGUUUGAGUCCCAGCACCACCA
This 73-nucleotide transfer RNA is filed under the name Cavia porcellus (domestic guinea pig). It matches the Rfam family "tRNA". Rfam says of the family: Transfer RNA (tRNA) molecules are approximately 80 nucleotides in length. Their secondary structure includes four short double-helical elements and three loops (D, anti-codon, and T loops). Further hydrogen bonds mediate the characteristic L-shaped molecular structure. tRNAs have two regions of fundamental functional importance: the anti-codon, which is responsible for specific mRNA codon recognition, and the 3' end, to which the tRNAs corresponding amino acid is attached (by aminoacyl-tRNA synthetases). tRNAs cope with the degeneracy of the genetic code in two manners: having more than one tRNA (with a specific anti-codon) for a particular amino acid; and 'wobble' base-pairing, i.e. permitting non-standard base-pairing at the 3rd anti-codon position. The record is from Rfam by way of RNAcentral. Lineage: Eukaryota; Metazoa; Chordata; Mammalia; Rodentia; Caviidae.